Molecule: ribosomal RNA, 451 nt
Filed under: uncultured bacterium
Lineage: Bacteria
Description: bacterial SSU rRNA
Rfam family: Bacterial small subunit ribosomal RNA
Source: RNAcentral
GUGAGGAAUAUUGCGCAAUGGGGGAAACCCUGACGCAGCGAUGCCGCGUGGGUGAAGAAGGCCUUCGGGUCGUAAAGCCCUGUCAAGCGGGAAGAAUAGUCGUAGGGCUAAUAUCCUUACGGCAUGACGGUACCGCUGAAGGAAGCACCGGCUAACUCCGUGCCAGCAGCCGCGGUAAGACGGAGGGUGCGAGCGUUAUUCGGAAUUAUUGGGCGUAAAGGGUGUGCAGGCGGCCGAUCAAGUCAGAUGUGAAAGCCCAGGGCUUAACCCUGGAAGUGCAUUUGAAACUGGUUGGCUUGAGUUCGGGAGAGGAAAGCGGAAUUCCGGGUGUAGAGGUGAAAUUCGUAGAUAUCCGGAGGAACACCGGUGGCGAAGGCGGCUUUCUGGACCGAAACUGACGCUGAGACACGAAAGCGUGGGGAGCAAACAGGAUUAGAUACCCUAGUAGUCC